Molecule: long non-coding RNA, 615 nt
Filed under: Daucus carota (carrot)
Lineage: Eukaryota; Viridiplantae; Streptophyta; Magnoliopsida; Apiales; Apiaceae
Description: long non-coding RNA (DCAR_LNC001254)
Source: RNAcentral
AAAUUUCAGAUGGGAAAAGGCGUUAUGUUUUUGGUAUAAACCCAUUCAAUCUUUCAUGUUUCUGCUCAUCAUUUUUAGUCAAGUUUGUUAUUUAUAUACGUUACUAUGUGUGUGUUUUAUUUACACUUCCAUCUCAUCUAAUUGGAAUUUACAAAUAUUGUAGACAAAUUUGAUGUCUUGCACCCAAAUUUCAUUGAGAAUCUAACUUUGAUGAAGGCGACAAUCCAGAACAGAGAAUGGGGGCAUGGUCUAGAAGAAACAGAUGUGAGCGUUUCUUGUCAUAAUUAUUAGUUUAUAGUAGUGGUUUUAUUUGUUAAAUCCAGUGUGCUGUUUCACGAUACUCAUAUUUUGUUGCCAUGUUGGGAGUGUUCUUGUGUAUUGGUUACUUUUUGGUGUUCAAACUUCUUUGAUAAAGAUAACAAAUAGGUCAUCAAGACGGCAGAUCAAUAUAGAAAAGACAAGGUUCUAAGGAACAAUGAUGCGAAAAUUUAAAACUUUGGGUGCAAAAUUAAAUACAGCAUGCUUUGGCCAUGGAUGGGGACAUAUUUGCUUUGUACCAUCAGUAUUGAUCACCUAGCGCUAGCAGCCCCAAUGUUGAACAUUUGGCGAGCCCUG